CACUGAGAAGCCAAUAAGGUAAGGCAUUAGCCUUUUAAGCUAAUAAUAGGUGUUCACCACAUACCCUUAGUGA
This 73-nucleotide transfer RNA is filed under the name Scolecomorphus vittatus. RNAcentral describes it as "tRNA-Lys". It matches the Rfam family "tRNA". From Rfam's summary of the family: Transfer RNA (tRNA) molecules are approximately 80 nucleotides in length. Their secondary structure includes four short double-helical elements and three loops (D, anti-codon, and T loops). Further hydrogen bonds mediate the characteristic L-shaped molecular structure. tRNAs have two regions of fundamental functional importance: the anti-codon, which is responsible for specific mRNA codon recognition, and the 3' end, to which the tRNAs corresponding amino acid is attached (by aminoacyl-tRNA synthetases). tRNAs cope with the degeneracy of the genetic code in two manners: having more than one tRNA (with a specific anti-codon) for a particular amino acid; and 'wobble' base-pairing, i.e. permitting non-standard base-pairing at the 3rd anti-codon position. Lineage: Eukaryota; Metazoa; Chordata; Amphibia; Gymnophiona; Scolecomorphidae. The record is from RNAcentral.